Molecule: ribosomal RNA, 458 nt
Filed under: uncultured Streptococcus sp.
Lineage: Bacteria; Bacillati; Bacillota; Bacilli; Lactobacillales; Streptococcaceae
Description: bacterial SSU rRNA
Rfam family: Bacterial small subunit ribosomal RNA
Source: RNAcentral
GCUGAAGGUCGGAGCUUGCUCUUUCCGGAUGAGUUGCGAACGGGUGAGUAACGCGUAGGUAACCUGCCUGGUAGCGGGGGAUAACUAUUGGAAACGAUAGCUAAUACCGCAUAACAGUAGAUAUUGCAUGACAUUUACUUGAAAGGUGCAAAUGCACCACUACCAGAUGGACCUGCGUUGUAUUAGCUAGUUGGUGAGGUAACGGCUCACCAAGGCGACGAUACAUAGCCGACCUGAGAGGGUGAUCGGCCACACUGGGACUGAGACACGGCCCAGACUCCUACGGGGGGCAGCAGUAGGGAAUCUUCGGCAAUGGACGGAAGUCUGACCGAGCAACGCCGCGUGAGUGAAGAAGGUUUUCGGAUCGUAAAGCUCUGAUGUAAGAGAAGAACGAGUGUGAGAGUGGAAAGUUCACACUGUGACGGUAUCUUACCAGAAAGGGACGGCUAACUACGUGC